This 422-nucleotide ribosomal RNA is filed under the name uncultured bacterium. RNAcentral describes it as "bacterial SSU rRNA". It matches the Rfam family "Bacterial small subunit ribosomal RNA", at positions 355 to 774 of the family's 1533-position model. The record is from RNAcentral.
UAAGGAAUAUUGGUCAAUGGACGCAAGUCUGAACCAGCCAUGCCGCGUGGAGGAUGAAGGUCCUCUGGAUUGUAAACUUCUUUUAUCUGGGACGAAACACUUCUUUUCUAAGAGGCCUAACGGUACCAGAUGAAUAAGCACCGGCUAACUCCGUGCCAGCAGCCGCGGUAAUACGGAGGGUGCAAGCGUUAUCCGGAUUCACUGGGUUUAAAGGGUGCGUAGGUGGGUAUGUAAGUCAGUGGUGAAAUCCCCGAGCUUAACUUGGGAACUGCCAUUGAUACUAUAUAUCUUGAAUACCGUAGAGGUAAGCGGAAUAUGUCAUGUAGCGGUGAAAUGCUUAGAUAUGACAUGGAACACCAAUUGCGAAGGCAGCUUAUUAUGCUGUGAUUGACACUGAGGCACGAAAGCGUGGGUAGCAAACA